GGGCCAAUCAGAACCUGCCGGGGGGUCUCUAUGCUGACCGGAAGUGGGUCUGUUACCCGGGGGCCAUCUUGCCGCUCGAGGUGCCGAGCCUUAGAGACGCGGGUCCCCGGGGGUCGAGGAAGGGGAGGCAGCUGUCGGUCACCGAGCUCCCGGGCGCAGGCCAGCCCGAGACCAGGCCCUAGAACCUUCCAGAUGCCGGUGUAUGUAUCGGGCCGCGGAGGUUGGGUCUCCCGCGGCUGGGCAUCAUCGCGCAUGCGCGGCCGGGCCAUGGCUGCCGCUCCGCAGGAAGGAGAGGAGGAGGCAGCAAGGAGUGGGUGGACUGGGAGUAACCCAGGCCCAGAGGCCCGAGCAUCCCCGGUGGCGGCACAGCGUCUGGACGGCAAGUUUGGCUGUGCAGGGUGAGGGACGACAACUGCCCCUGCUCCUCUCCCCUCUGCCCAGCUGCCCAGCGAGACUGUGGGGCAGACACGUGCACAUGGAUUGAACUCCCGGGGCAGGGACCUUCGCUAUUUGUUCUCUGCUGCGGCAGAGGUGCUGAAGGAGGAGCUCAGGAAUCCUCGUCGGGUGGACAAAUGACAGGAGAGUGGGACAUACCGAAUGGAUGAACGAGUGAGUGAGACGGAUAAGCAGGGCUUCCGGGUGGUCCAGGUUGGUGGGUCGUCCCGCCUCAGACUCUGAGGGCGAAAGUGAGGGCAGGGACCAGCUUAUUGUGCAUUUCACUCAUUUUACAACGAUUCCUAACUUUUAAUUACAGGAGCACAUGCUGAACACGUCUUGCCGUGGGAGGGGCGCGAGCCUGGCAGGCAGGCCAACCCACCCUUCCUCCCCAGCUCCCCCUCGCCCCGCAGGUGGACGUGGUUGAUGGUGGGGACGUUCCCUUCCACGGCUUCCUCUGGGCAUUUCGCUUGUGUGCACGAGCGCGUGGGCGCGUGGCUGGGCUGCACCCAAUCACGAUACGUGGCCCAGACGUCUCGCGGCAUUGAAAGAAGAGUUGGGGCACCUGAGUGGCUCGACUGGACAAGCAUCCCGCUCGAUUUCAGCUCAGGUGGUGGUGUCCGGGCUGUGAGCUGCAGCCCGCCGGUGGGCUCUGUGCUCGGAGGGGAGUCUGCUGCUCUUCCUCUGCCCCUCCCCCGUAAAUAAACAGACAAAUCUUAAAAGAGGGUCUUAAAAA
RNAcentral lists this long non-coding RNA (1171 nucleotides) under Vulpes vulpes (red fox). RNAcentral's name for it is "lncRNA (ENSVVUG00000016861.1)". Lineage: Eukaryota; Metazoa; Chordata; Mammalia; Carnivora; Canidae. The record is from RNAcentral.